This is a non-coding RNA of Oncorhynchus mykiss (rainbow trout), 1810 nucleotides long. The record is from RefSeq and is a predicted model, not a curated record. Lineage: Eukaryota; Metazoa; Chordata; Actinopteri; Salmoniformes; Salmonidae.
GUUAGGCAUGAAAUGACAGCAGGCUGUUCAAUACUGUACCAUACUGACUGACGAGUGGCGUGGAUUGGUACAACUCGACUCAGUCCCACAUAGUAUUUGAUCAAAUUUUAUCUAAAUGAUUAUCCAUAGUUGCCUCUUUUAAACCGCAGCAGUUUCCUUGAAUGCAUCACUAACUUUUCAACUCCAAUUAAACUCUGUUUAUGACAUUUCCUAUUUUUACACUCUCUCACUGAAGUUGUUCUCAGGAGACGGGUCAGUGUGUGUGUAGAGAACCUAUGUUUUACUAGGUGGAGUCAGGCUUCUACUUCAUCGCACUGAACCACUACACCUGCGAGGCUGAGGACGCCAAGUUUGGACCUGUGAGUCACCUUUGACCUUAAUGUAACUUUCUUCUAAGACUUUUGGGGUCAUGGUGUUCCAUAACUCAGCACAUAUGUAUCCCUCCACCUUACUCAGUGGAGUCCUGACCAGGGGUAUCAAACUCCGAAAUCUAUGUACCUGUUGUGUUGGCGUAGUAACCGGACAUGUGGGAGGAGGAGUUUAUGACAGUGAUGCGUCCACCCUGGAUCGUGGUAAACAAACACCUAGUCUCUCUCUCUGAAUGUUUGUUGCACAUGAUAGAGUGAGUAAUGAAUGGGUAUUUUACAUGCAGUGUGUGUGUAGUGUAGGAUAUAGAUGUUGUGUAUAUGAGUCUACUGAGUCUGUAAACCCCCUGUACUACAGGCCGGUGUUUUGUUUGCACACACUUUUCUGGUGUGAUUUAGUGCAGUGUUGUGUGACAUCACUCUCUCUCUCUCUCGCUCUCUCUAACUCUCUCUCUCUCUCCACAGAUAUGUGGUGCUCCCCAGACCAGUGUUGUGUGACAUCUCUCUCUCUCUCUCUCUCUCUCUCUCUCUCUCUCAGCCCUUUGACACCAUACUAAAUCUAAUUCCAUCCUCUGUAUUUUUCUGUCCUCUAUAGAUUAUGCUGAUGCCCCACUGUAAGAACCUGGAGAUCUUCACUGGUUCUGAGGGAGGAGACGUGGCCACUAACGGUGUCUGGGACAAGUUCCAGCAUUACCGCUGACUGGAGAACAGCCAGAGCGUGGUCAAGACCCCCUCCACAGACAUCUGCUGCAACUUCAUCUUUAGCUUGUCAGCUCUACUGCACCAGGGAGACAAAGAGCAUACCACCAUGCUGACAACCAUCCAUGCAGAUCAGUGGACAAAGGGCUGGACAACGGGCCGCACCGAAAAAAACACGUUUGCCAAGCCACUGUAAUCGAUGGGGGCUCGGAGGGGGUCCAUUCUGCUUAUCUGAUGAAGGAGCACAUGGAUCAGAUUCAAACUUUGAAGACUGAGAUCGAGUCAUUGAAGGCAGAGCAGCAGAAAGAUAAACAUGAUCUGAUGGCAGAUAUAUGGGAGACAGCUGAUGCAUUGGUCCAGAUCCAGGUGGCAUUGGCGGAAAAUUACAGGUUGAAGAGGGCGAGGAACGAGAUGGAGUCACGAUCCAUGCCAGGCACACCUGUGAGCUCUGGAACUCCACCUCCUACAGGCAGAGUCAACAUAGCUGGCGGGUUCAUCAGGUCAUCGGUUCAUCGAUUCACCCUGACAUUUCCAUUCCUCUUCUGACAACUGAACUUGACUAACUGCUCACCAGGCACAGAAAGGGCCGUCUGGACGUUAUGCUGUUCUGCUAAAGCCUAAUAAACAAAUGCAGGUGGUUUAUAUCUUCAAAAUGCUUCACAUGCUUUAUUAUCCAAAUGUAAAAGCGUAUACUCUACAGUACUGUAUUUCUUCAUCAGCAUCUUUAUGCUUUCGUUAAUAAAAUA